UGGGGAAUUUUGGACAAUGGGGGAAACCCUGAUCCAGCCAUCCCGCGUGUGCGAUGAAGGCCUUCGGGUUGUAAAGCACUUUUGGCAGGAAAGAAACGUCGCGGGUUAAUACCCCGCGAAACUGACGGUACCUGCAGAAUAAGCACCGGCUAACUACGUGCCAGCAGCCGCGGUAAUACGUAGGGUGCAAGCGUUAAUCGGAAUUACUGGGCGUAAAGCGUGCGCAGGCGGUUCGGAAAGAAAGAUGUGAAAUCCCAGAGCUUAACUUUGGAACUGCAUUUUUAACUACCGGGCUAGAGUGUGUCAGAGGGAGGUGGAAUUCCGCGUGUAGCAGUGAAAUGCGUAGAUAUGCGGAGGAACACCGAUGGCGAAGGCAGCCUCCUGGGAUAACACUGACGCUCAUGCACGAAAGCGUGGGGAGCAAACAGGAUUAGAUACCCUGGUAGUCCACGCCCUAAACGAUGUCAACUAGCUGUUGGGGGCCUUCGGGCCUUGGUAGCGCAGCUAACGCGUGAAGUUGACCGCCUGGGGAGUACGGUCGCAAGAUUAAAACUUAAAGGAAUUG
This 565-nucleotide ribosomal RNA is filed under the name uncultured bacterium. Its description in RNAcentral is "partial 16S ribosomal RNA". It matches the Rfam family "Bacterial small subunit ribosomal RNA", at positions 355 to 912 of the family's 1533-position model. The record is from RNAcentral.